RNAcentral lists this ribosomal RNA (545 nucleotides) under Staphylococcus epidermidis. RNAcentral describes it as "bacterial SSU rRNA". It matches the Rfam family "Bacterial small subunit ribosomal RNA", at positions 996 to 1533 of the family's 1533-position model. The record is from RNAcentral. Lineage: Bacteria; Bacillati; Bacillota; Bacilli; Caryophanales; Staphylococcaceae.
CCCUCUAGAGAUAGAGUUUUCCCCUUCGGGGGACAGAGUGACAGGUGGUGCAUGGUUGUCGUCAGCUCGUGUCGUGAGAUGUUGGGUUAAGUCCCGCAACGAGCGCAACCCUUAAGCUUAGUUGCCAUCAUUAAGUUGGGCACUCUAAGUUGACUGCCGGUGACAAACCGGAGGAAGGUGGGGAUGACGUCAAAUCAUCAUGCCCCUUAUGAUUUGGGCUACACACGUGCUACAAUGGACAAUACAAAGGGCAGCGAAACCGCGAGGUCAAGCAAAUCCCAUAAAGUUGUUCUCAGUUCGGAUUGUAGUCUGCAACUCGACUAUAUGAAGCUGGAAUCGCUAGUAAUCGUAGAUCAGCAUGCUACGGUGAAUACGUUCCCGGGUCUUGUACACACCGCCCGUCACACCACGAGAGUUUGUAACACCCGAAGCCGGUGGAGUAACCAUUUGGAGCUAGCCGUCGAAGGUGGGACAAAUGAUUGGGGUGAAGUCGUAACAAGGUAGCCGUAUCGGAAGGUGCGGCUGGAUCACCUCCUUUCUAAGGA